RNAcentral lists this long non-coding RNA (556 nucleotides) under Bos taurus (domestic cattle). RNAcentral describes it as "long non-coding RNA NONBTAT018376". The record is from RNAcentral. Lineage: Eukaryota; Metazoa; Chordata; Mammalia; Artiodactyla; Bovidae.
GUUUUUUUAGGUUUUCAUACCAACACAAUUCUACAUUUUUAAAACAAUUAGGACUACAAACAAGGCUCCAGUACAAAAGGGUGGGUAAUUCUUUAUCCCUGGUCCUUAAUGUUAUAUAAAACUAUAAAACAACUUCCCAUAAAAUGCACUCCAUGCUGCAGUCAAAGGACAUAUGAGUUCCAAGUGUUUACCACUAAGCCAAUGGUUAACAAACCUCAAAGUCUCACACCCUAAGUGGGAACAAUUUCACAGAAACCACAAGAACUUGAAAUAACUUAACAAUAAAUGAAAUAUAUCCAAUCAUCUACACUCCCUCUCAAAUUCCAAACAAUGAGGCUUAUUGAACUAUACCCUUAGAAUCAACUUUAAAUCUCUGUAUGAUUCACCUGAAUCAUACAUGGUCAAUAGUUAUAAAUCCAGGUAGAAAAAGCACAUAAAAUUAUUCACAAGUGAAAACACUUCAAACAAAAGAAAUGUUUUAAAAAAAAAUCCAGAUAAUAUUAAAAGGAAAUACACUGAAUUUUAAAACAUUGUUUUGGACUAUUAUAUAAAAUAC